AUGGCAGAUUCAAUGCUUAGCACGGUUCCUUCAUGGCUCCCCGUAGGGAUGGACCCCUUAACUACAUAUUUGUUGGAAAUCAAACUAGCCGGGGAUCGAAAAAAUGCUAGGGUGGAAUAUGAUUGGUUUAUUUUCAGUAAAGUGAUAGACUCAAAUGCGAUGUGCUACAAAGACUUUAUUGAUGAUAUUGCGAAGUCAUAUCCAUGGGGGCCAAAUGAAACUGUCACAAUUGGCUACGUGGAUAUGGUUCAUAAAAUUACUCAUCAUGUCACAACUGACCAGGAUAUGCUUGCAAUGUUUGAAAAGUUUGUUGAUAUCAAGGUGAUUCCAAUGAUUAUUCGCAUACAUGGUAUUAAUGAAAGUAUUGAUGAGUUAGACCACACUCUUGUUAAAGCAAGCGCAUGUGUUCCCGAUACUCCUUCUUUGGCAACCCCAUCUCAAGUGGAUUUCAGCCAACCUAGCAGCAGCACUCUUCCUUCUCAUGUCAUUGUGCCAUCAGACACAUACUUAGUAAACCCAUUUCCUAUGGCUGAGCAUGUUGGUGUUGAUGAGGAAGGCAUAUACUUAGAUGAGGAGGAGGCUGUUGUU
Molecule: long non-coding RNA, 588 nt
Filed under: Oryza sativa Indica Group (long-grained rice)
Lineage: Eukaryota; Viridiplantae; Streptophyta; Magnoliopsida; Poales; Poaceae
Description: lncRNA OsMH63_01G018210
Source: RNAcentral